This is a long non-coding RNA of Octopus bimaculoides (California two-spot octopus), 863 nucleotides long. The record is from RefSeq and is a predicted model, not a curated record. NCBI's taxonomy places the organism in Eukaryota, Metazoa, Mollusca, Cephalopoda, Octopoda, Octopodidae.
UAUAUAUAUAUAUAUAUAUAUAUAUAUAUAUCUAGGUAGGAAGACUGAGAACAAUCACUGGAGGGAGCGCAGUGUGACUUGACUGACAAGGGGAUCACUUGUUGUCCAGAUCAGGGAACACUUACCUCAACGUUAUUCAGCACUCGAGGGGACUGAAAAAGGAGUUAUAAUGAAAAGAAAUGCAGAUUUGGCAGCUUCAAGACAUAAGGACUACGGGAAUGAUAACAUUAUACUUACAAAACGAUAAAGGUUGGCAACAGGAAGACCAUCUGGCCAUAGAAAAUCUGCUUCAACAAAUUCAACGUAACCUGUGCCAGCAUGGAAAGAUGAUGAUGGUAGAGUCAGUAAAAUAAGUAGCAGUUGAUCACUAGGGAUGAUGUAAUCGACUUAACCCUCCUCUGAAAUUGCUGGCCUUGUGGCAAAAUUUGAAACCAACAUCAGCCCUAUUUUCAGAAAUGAUGGAAUUGUACUGUUGUUGACAUAUAAACAAUUAACAAAUAAAUACAAUAGCACUUGAAGCAUGACAUGUAGAAAAGAUGAAAGAAAAUUAGAUACCUUACCUGCAAUGUAAACAGAACCAUCUGUUCCCAGUAACACAUUACCAGCCUUUAUGUCCCUGAAAUACAGAAUUUCUCACAAGUUAACAUCUUUCAUUUAAUUUUUCUCAACAGUUCUAAAUUGUAAAAUGCUACCACAUUUAAAUAUCUCAGAUGUGUUAUAGUUUUAACAUGCUCGUCAUUUUUCAGGCUAUUCACUUUAUCUUCAAGAGAUGAAACAAUUUCUCAUGUUCAUAGCUACACUAUGUUUUUUGAUUGUUGAUCAUCAUCAAAUGUCUUAUUCCUUAAAUAUGUAUUAAAGAUACA